CAAGGAAUUUUCGGCAAUGGGGGAAACCCUGACCGAGCAACGCCGCGUGCAGGAUGACGGCCUUCGGGUUGUAAACUGCUUUUGCUACGGAAGAAAUGGACGGUACGUGGCGAAUCAGCCCCGGCUAACUCUGUGCCAGCAGCCGCGGUAAUACAGAGGGGGCAAGCGUUGUCCGGAUUGACUGGGCGUAAAGGGUCCGUAGGCGGCCAAUCAGGUGGGGUGUGACAUCUCCGUGCUUAACACGGAAGGGCCGCUCCAAACCGAUAGGCUUGAGGGGUGCAGAGGUCGGUGGAAUUGCCAGUGUAGCAGUGAAAUGCGUAGAGAUUGGCAGGAACACCAAGGGCGCAAGCAGCCGACUGGGCACCGUCUGACGCUGAGGGACGACAGCGUGGGGAGCGAA
This 400-nucleotide ribosomal RNA is filed under the name uncultured bacterium. RNAcentral describes it as "bacterial SSU rRNA". It matches the Rfam family "Bacterial small subunit ribosomal RNA", at positions 355 to 772 of the family's 1533-position model. The record is from RNAcentral.